RNAcentral lists this ribosomal RNA (513 nucleotides) under uncultured bacterium. RNAcentral describes it as "partial 16S ribosomal RNA". It matches the Rfam family "Bacterial small subunit ribosomal RNA", at positions 28 to 523 of the family's 1533-position model. The record is from RNAcentral.
GACGAACGCUGGCGGCAUGCCUAAUACAUGCAAGUCGAGCGAACAGAUGAAGUGCUUGCACUUCUGACGUCAGCGGCGAACGGGUGAGUAACACGUAAGGAAUCUACCUAUAAGCGGGGGAUAACAUUCGGAAACGGGUGCUAAUACCGCAUAAUAUCUUCUUCCGCAUGGAAGAAGAUUGAAAGACGGCUCUGCUGUCACUUAUAGAUGACCUUGCGGUGCAUUAGUUAGUUGGUGGGGUAACGGCCUACCAAGACGAUGAUGCAUAGCCGACCUGAGAGGGUGAUCGGCCACAUUGGGACUGAGACACGGCCCAAACUCCUACGGGGGGCAGCAGUAGGGAAUCUUCCGCAAUGGGCGAAAGCCUGACGGAGCAAUGCCGCGUGAGUGAAGAAGGCCUUCGGGUCGUAAAACUCUGUUAUAAGAGAAGAACAAAUUGUAGAGUAACUGCUACAGUCUUGACGGUAUCUUAUCAGAAAGCCACGGCUAACUACGUGCCAGCCGCCGCGGUAA